GCAUCCAUCGUAUAACGGCUAUUAUAGGUGACUUCCACUCACUUGAUAAGGGUUCGAUUCCCUUUGGAUGCU
RNAcentral lists this transfer RNA (72 nucleotides) under Klebsiella phage KMI11. It matches the Rfam family "tRNA". Rfam says of the family: Transfer RNA (tRNA) molecules are approximately 80 nucleotides in length. Their secondary structure includes four short double-helical elements and three loops (D, anti-codon, and T loops). RNAcentral also lists the same sequence under 4 other names. Lineage: Duplodnaviria; Heunggongvirae; Uroviricota; Caudoviricetes; Pantevenvirales; Straboviridae. The record is from Rfam by way of RNAcentral.